GACGAACGCUGGCGGCGUGCUUAACACAUGCAAGUCGAACGGAAAGGCCCUGCUUUUGUGGGGUGCUCGAGUGGCGAACGGGUGAGUAACACGUGAGUAACCUGCCCUUGACUUUGGGAUAACUUCAGGAAACUGGGGCUAAUACCGGAUAGGAGCUCCUGCUUCAUGGUGGGGGUUGGAAAGUUUCGGCGGUUGGGGAUGGACUCGCGGCUUAUCAGCUUGUUGGUGGGGUAGUGGCUUACCAAGGCUUUGACGGGUAGCCGGCCUGAGAGGGUGACCGGCGACAUUGGGACUGAGAGACGGCGCAGACUCCUACGGGAGGCAGCAGUGGGGAAUAUUGCACAAUGGGCGGAAGCCUGAUGCAGCAACGCCGCGUGCGGGAUGACGGCCUUCGGGUUGUAAACCGCUUUCGCCUGUGACGAAGCGUGGGUGACGGUAAUGGGUAAAGAAGCACCGGCUAACUACGUG
Molecule: ribosomal RNA, 468 nt
Filed under: uncultured bacterium
Lineage: Bacteria
Description: partial 16S ribosomal RNA
Rfam family: Bacterial small subunit ribosomal RNA
Source: RNAcentral